Eubalaena glacialis (North Atlantic right whale) is the source of this 254-nucleotide long non-coding RNA. RefSeq lists it as uncharacterized. The record is from RefSeq and is a predicted model, not a curated record. NCBI's taxonomy places the organism in Eukaryota, Metazoa, Chordata, Mammalia, Artiodactyla, Balaenidae. The transcript is spliced from 3 exons.
CAUUACUACCAAUUCAGCGGGUCCCACACGCCAAGCCCCGCUCGUUACCCAUGUAAUGGACUUUCAUCCUUACCACAAACCCGACAGAUAAACAGAGGCCCAGGGAGCUGAAGUUUUCCCAGCAUUUCCCGUUGGAAUUCUCUCCUCCACCCUGAGGAAUGAGACCAAGGGACCCUGGAGCUCCUCCAGGCCCAGCUGACUUCUGUACCUCCUCGGCCCUCUUCAGUGCUUCUCUGGCUCCAGCUCCUGGAAGC